RNAcentral lists this ribosomal RNA (465 nucleotides) under uncultured bacterium. RNAcentral's name for it is "partial 16S ribosomal RNA". It matches the Rfam family "Bacterial small subunit ribosomal RNA", at positions 338 to 795 of the family's 1533-position model. The record is from RNAcentral.
CCUACGGGAGGCAGCAGUAGGGAAUCUUCCACAAUGGGCGAAAGCCUGAUGGAGCAACGCCGCGUGGGUGAAGAAGGUCUUCGGAGCGUAAAACUCUGUUGUUAGAGAAGAAAGUGCGUGAGAGUAACUGUUCACGUUUCGACGGUAUCUAACCAGAAAGCCACGGCUAACUACGUGCCAGCAGCCGCGGUAAUACGUAGGUGGCAAGCGUUAUCCGGAUUUAUUGGGCGUAAAGGGAACGCAGGCGGUCUUUUAAGUCUGAUGUGAAAGCCUUCGGCUUAACCGGAGUAGUGCAUUGGAAACUGGGAGACUUGAGUGCAGGAGAGGCGAGUGGAACACCAUGUGUAGCGGUGAAAUGCGUAGAUAUAUGGAAGAACACCAGUGGCGAAGGCGGCUCUCUGGUCUGUAACUGACGCUGAGGUUCGAAAGCGUGGGUAGCAAACAGGAUUAGAUACCCUUGUAGUC